GUAGUCAUAUGCUUGUCUCAAAGAUUAAGCCAUGCAUGUCUAAGUAUAAGCAACUUGUACUGUGAAACUGCGAAUGGCUCAUUAAAUCAGUUAUCGUUUAUUUGAUAGUACCUUACUACAUGGAUACCUGUGGUAAUUCUAGAGCUAAUACAUGCUAAAAACCCCGACUUCAGGAAGGGGUGUAUUUAUUAGAUAAAAAACCAACGCCCCUCGGAGCUCCUUGGUGAAUCAUAAUAACUUAACGAAUCGCAUGGCCUUGCGCCGGCGAUGGUUCAUUCAAAUUUCUGCCCUAUCAACUUUCGAUGGUAGGAUAGUGGCCUACCAUGGUGGCAACGGGUAACGGGGAAU
Molecule: ribosomal RNA, 348 nt
Filed under: uncultured Penicillium
Lineage: Eukaryota; Fungi; Ascomycota; Eurotiomycetes; Eurotiales; Aspergillaceae
Description: SSU rRNA
Rfam family: Eukaryotic small subunit ribosomal RNA
Source: RNAcentral